GAUGAACGCUGGCGGCGUGCCUAAUACAUGCCAGUAGAACGCUGAAGGAGGAGCUUGCUCUUCUGGAUGAGUUGCGAGCGGGUGAGUAACGCGUAGGUAACCUGCCUGGUAGCGGGGGAUAACUAUUGGAAACGAUAGCUAAUACCCAUGACAACUGUUAUUGCAUGAUAACUGUUUAAAAGGGGCAACUGCUCCACUACCAGAUGGACCUGCGUUGUAUUAGCUAGUUGGUGAGGUAACGGCUCACCAAGGCGACGAUACAUAGCCGACCUGAGAGGGUGAUCGGCCACACUGGGACUGAGACACGGCCCAGACUCCUACGGGAGGCAGCAGUAGGGAAUCUUCGGCAAUGGACGGAAGUCUGACCGAGCAACGCCGCGUGAGUGAAGAAGGUUUUCGGAUCGUAAAGCUCUGUUGUAAGAGAAGAACGAGUGUGAGAGUGGAAAGUUCACACUGUGACGGUAUCUUACCAGAAAGGGACGGCUAACUACGUG
This 494-nucleotide ribosomal RNA is filed under the name uncultured bacterium. Its description in RNAcentral is "partial 16S ribosomal RNA". It matches the Rfam family "Bacterial small subunit ribosomal RNA", at positions 28 to 507 of the family's 1533-position model. The record is from RNAcentral.